Molecule: ribosomal RNA, 489 nt
Filed under: uncultured bacterium
Lineage: Bacteria
Description: partial 16S ribosomal RNA
Rfam family: Bacterial small subunit ribosomal RNA
Source: RNAcentral
AUUGAACGCUGGCGGCAGGCCUAACACAUGCAAGUCGAAUGGUAACAGGAAACAGCUUGCUGUUUCGCUGACGAGUGGCGGACGGGUGAGUAAUGUCUGGGAAACUGCCUGAUGGAGGGGGAUAACUACUGGAAACGGUAGCUAAUACCGCAUAACGUCGCAAGACCAAAGAGGGGGACCUUCGGGCCUCUUGCCAUCAGAUGUGCCCAGAUGGGAUUAGCUAGUAGGUGGGGUAACGGCUCACCUAGGCGACGAUCCCUAGCUGGUCUGAGAGGAUGACAGCCACACUGGAACUGAGACACGGUCCAGACUCCUACGGGAGGCAGCAGUGGGGAAUAUUGCACAAUGGGCGCAAGCCUGAUGCAGCCAUGCCGCGUGUAUGAAGAAGGCCUUCGGGUUGUAAAGUACUUUCAGCGGGGAGGAAGGGAGUAAAGUUAAUACCUUUGCUCAUUGACGUUACCCGCAGAAGAAGCACCGGCUAACUCCGUG